AACGCACCUUGCGCUCCUUGGUAUUCCGAGGAGCAUGCCUGUUUGAGUGUCAUGAAAUUCUCAACCUCUCUGGUUUUAUUAUUAUUAUUAUUAUAAAACUAGUGAGGCUUGGAUUUUGGGAGUUGCUGGCUUUUAGAAGUCAGCUCUUCUUAAAUAUAUUAGCAAAAUCUAUGCUGUCCAUCUUUGGUAUGAUAAUUAUCUAUACCAUUGAGAACCAGAUUCCUUAUAUGGGGAGUUUUUGCUUCUAAUAGUCUAUUUUGGACAACUUGAAAAUUUUGACCUCAAAUCAGGUAGGACUACCCGCUGAACUUAA
This 313-nucleotide unclassified non-coding RNA is filed under the name uncultured Entoloma. Its description in RNAcentral is "sequence contains ITS2". The stretch from base 1 to 52 matches the Rfam family "5.8S ribosomal RNA", at positions 103 to 154 of the family's 154-position model. The record is from RNAcentral. Lineage: Eukaryota; Fungi; Basidiomycota; Agaricomycetes; Agaricales; Entolomataceae.